ACUCCGACCCAGCACAGUAUUUAUGUGGGUUAAAAAAUAGAAAAAGUGUGUCCGGACACUAGGGAGGUGGGAAGUUUUCUUCAGGUCAGGAGUUCAAGAGCAGCCUAGCAAAGUGGUGUGACCCCAUUUCUGUAGUCCCACCUCAGCCUCCCAGCUAGUUGAACCCCAAGGUUCAAGGCUGCAAUGAGCUAAGAUUCUACCACCGCACUCCAGCCUGCGAGACUGAGGUAAACCCUGUCUAAAAAAAUAAAAAAGAAAACUAUCCAAGUGUGCAACAUUGGGGGACUGCUUAAAGAAAAAUUGAGGCUGCCUGGGCCCUGUAAUCCCAGCAUUUUGGGAGGCUGAGGCGGGAGGAUGGCUUGGAAUCAGGAGUGUGAGACUGGCCUGAGCAACAUGACAAAACCCCGUCUCUACAAAAGAUACAAAAAUUAGCCAGGCACAGUGCAUGCCUAGCCUAAUAUUUUGUAUUUUUGUGUAGAGAUGGGAGGGGGAGAUCCUCCCAUUUUGCCCAGUUUGGUCUUGAACUCCUGAGUACAAGCCAUCUUCUCACCUUGGCCUUCAGAGUUGUUGGGAUUAAAGGUGUGAGCCACGGCGCCCCACUUGGUUUAGGCUAUUUAGUAACAAAGUCCGUGGCUUGGCUUGCUGGCUCUGUAAUUCCAGCACUUUGGGAGGCCAAGGCAGGUGGAUCACCUGAGGUCAGGAGUUCGAGAUCAGUGUAGCCAACGUGAUGAAACCCAGUUUCUACAAAAAUUAGCCGCAUGUGGUGGCACAUGCCUGUAGUCCCAGCUACUAGGGAGGCUGACACAGGCGAAUUGCUUAAACCCAGGAGGCAGGGGUUGCAGUUAGUCAAGAUCACAUCACUGAACCCUAGCCUGGUUGACAGAGUGAGACUCCAGAGUUUGAGACCAGCCUGGGCAAUGUAGUGAAACCCUGAUUCUUCAAAAGAAACAAAUAAAAAAGGCAGGUGUAACUGUGUCCACUUGUGUCCCCUGCCACUUAGGAUGCUGAGGCAGGAGGAUCACCUGAGGCCAGGAGCAGGUCUGCAGUGAGUAGGGUCAUCCCACAACCCUCCAUCCUGAGCAAAAGAAUGAGACCAUGUCUCUAGAUAGCUAGCUAGAUAAUUGGUAAGUAGUUUUCUAUCACAAUUUUUUCUCUACAUUUGAGCAUAUUUUUCUAAAGUAGCAUUCAACACAACAGCAUUUUACAGUGUUAUUAGAUGUUAAUGUGAUUAUGUUUUUCUGAAAUACAGUAUCCUUUACAAAAGCAGUUUUUGUCUGUCAAAGCGCACGGAUAGGUCCUCAAGUGAAUUUGCCUGAUGUUAGUGACCUUGGUAGCAUUUCCUCCCGUUGAUUGCAACAGUCAGUAAUUUGAGGUCACCGUUACCCUUGGAGGAAGAGCCCAAAGGCAACAAGUAAGGGCACUGGUGUCCAGUCCCUUCAAGAAGCAUUUUCACCUUCCCUUAAGGUUUCCCUUGAUGAACAUGGAAGUACUGUAUGUAGAAUUGACUGUUCCAGCAUCUUUGUAUAUUAGGCCAAAGUUAUAUGUCUUCCUUUUAUGAGAGGCACCCUGGUAAGCUAGGGGAGUUACACAUGAAGUCUGAUCUUACCUUCUCUGUCCAGAGAUGCAAGAUGGUCCAAUCAAAUAACAUUCUCUGAGCCUGUUUCUCUUUUACUUAUUUUAUUUAUUUUUUAUUUUUUAGAGACGGGGUCUUGCUCUUUUGCUGUGGUGUCAUCUUAGAUCACUGCAACCUCCAACUCUCGGGUUCAAGUGAUUCUCCUGCCUCAGCCUCCUGAGUAGCUUGGACUACAGGCACGUGCCACCACAUCCAGCUAAUUUCUGUAUUUUUAGUAGCGAUGCGGUUUCACCAUUUUGGCAGAGAUCGUCUUGAUCUCUUGACCUCAUUAUCCACCUGCCUUAGCCUCUUAAAAUGCUGUGAUUACAGAUGUGAGCCACCACACUUGCCCUGAGCUCAUUUUUUUAGCUGUAAAAUAAGAAUAACAACUGUACUAAUCUAAAAAGACAGCUUAUUGUAUUGUCUUUUAUUUUCUAUGAAACUGUCUUUAACACAAUAAUUAUUUUCUUUGCCGUGCCACAUUUGUUUUUGUUUUGUCUUUGUUUUUCUUUUAGAUGGAGUCUGUUUUGUUUUGUUUUUGUUUUCUUGAGAUGGAGUCUCGCUGUUGUAGCCCAGGCUGGAGUGCAGUGGCAUGAUCUUGGCUUAUCCUGUAUCAUACCCACAGAGACCCUUUUUUUCUCCAGGGCCUGGGAAGCAGCCAGGUUCCAUGAGUUAAAUGCAGAUCUGAACCAUACUGAGCUGGGAUUAAAGUACACACCCUCCUCUUCUGAAAAGUAGCUAAGGAUUCCAACUUGGUGUAGUGGAGAGUGUGGCAGAGCCAGACCAGACAAGGACCGAUCACCUGGAAAAGCAUGUUGUCAAAGGCCUUGGUGAGUGCUGAGUGCCAGAGCUCACACCGGUAAUCCCAGCACUUUGGGAAGCUGAGACAGGUGGAUCGCUUGAGUCCAGGAGUUUGAGUAGAGCCUGGGAAACAUGGCAAAACCUGUCUCUACUAAAAACACAAAAAUUAGCCAGGUGUGUUUUGAGAUGAAGUCUGGCUCUCUCACCCAGGCUGGAGUGCAGUGGCACAAUCUUGGCUCACUACAACCUCCGCCUCCCCCUCUUCAGGUUCAAACUGUUCCCAUGUCUUAGCCUUCCAAGUAGCUGAGAUUACAGGCAUGUGCCAUGCCACCACACUAGCUAGUUUUUUUGCAGAGACAGGGUUUCACCAUGUUGACCAGGCUGGUCUCGAACUUCUGAUCUCAAGUGAUCUGCCCACUUUGACCUCCCAAAAUGCUGGGAUUACAGGCAUGAACCACAGCACCCAGCCCCUUCAGGUGCGUUUUGAGGCUUCACUAUGAUACUAGUUUCCUGUUUCUGCUGGAACAAAUUACCACACACUUAGGGCUUAAAACAACAUAGACGUAGCUGGGCAUGGUAGCUCAUACCUGUAAUCCACUUUGGGAGGCUGAGGCGGGCGGAUCACCUGAGGUUGGGAGUUCGAGACCAGCCUGACCAACAUGGAGAAACUCCACCUCUAAUAAAAAUAUAAAAAUAGCUGGGUGUGAUAGUGCAUGCCUGUAAUCCCAGCUACUCAGGAGGCUGAGGCAGGAGAAUUGCUUCAACCUGGAAGGCGGAGGUUGCAGUGAGCCGAGAUCGUGCCAUCACACUCCAGCCUAAGUAAAAAGAGGGGAACUCUGUCUAAAAAAAAAAAAAAAAAAAAAAGCAACACAGAUGUAUUCGCUUAUGUUCUGAAGGCCAGAAUUCUAAAGUCGGUCCCACUGACUCAAGGUGGGAGCAGGGCAGGUACCUUCCCAGGCUCUGAAGGAGAAUGAGUUUCUGGCCCUGGAGGCUUCCUGGAAUCCUCAGCUUGUGCUGCCCUUCUUGAAUGACUGGAGGUUCCUGCUUCCAUCACUACACUUCCCAUCGCUCUCCAUCACCUGCUCUGCUCUGGCUGGCUGCAGUCUUCGUUCCCUGCAACAUUUGUCUCCUGGGUUCAAGUGAUUCUUCUACCUCAGCCUCCUGAGUACCUGGGACUACAGAGAAAUGCAAUGAUGGUAUCGCUGAUCUAUGUAAACACAUUGAAGAACUAUCUGAAAGAAAAUAUGAAUCUUGCUCUGUUGCACAGACUGAAGUGCAGUGGCAUGAGAUCUUGGCUCACUACAACCUCUGCCUCAUGGUUUCAAGCAAUUCUUCUGCCUCAGCCUCCCAAGUAGCGGGAAUCAUAGAGUCUUCCUCUUUCACUCAGGCUGGAGCGCAGUGGUGGGAUCUCAGCUGGCCGAAACCUCCACUUCUCAGGUUGAAUUUAUCCUCUUGCCUCAGCCUCCCUAGUAGCUAGGACUACAGUAGAGAUGGGGUCUCAAACUCCUGACCUUGUGAUCUGCCUUCCUUGGCCUCCCAAAGUGCUCAGAUUACAGGCUUCAUGUGUCCCAGGCAAAGUCCCCAUUUCCAUCUCCAUGAGCUCCUCUCAAGGUCUACCAGCUACCCAAGCCAGAUGCCCAGGAGUUACUCUGAGAGCGCUGCUGGCUUUUUCCUCCUGCUUCGGCACAGUGGCUCUAACAGCCCAGAUCAUGCCUGUCUUGUUUACUUCUCAAGCAGGUUCUCAAGUGAUUCUCCUGCCUCAGCCUCCCAAGUAGCUGGGAUCACAGGUGUGCACCACCACACCCAGCUAAUUUUAUUUUUAAUUUGUAGUAGAGAUGGGGGUUCCACCAUGUUGGUCAGGCUGCUCUGAAACUCCUGAUCUAAGGUGAUCCAUUCACCUUGUCCUUUCAGAGUGCUGGGAUUACAGGUGUGAGCCACUGAGCCUGGCCAGGAAUGGAUUAUUUUUAUGCUUCCCCUUUUGAGACAUUGCCAUGGCAUUUGUAAACUGUCCUGGUGUUGGUGGGAGUGUAGUAGCAGUGAGGACGACCAGAGGCCACUCUUGUCACCAUCUUGGUUUUGGCUGGCCGCUUUACUGCAACCCAUUUUAUCAGCAAGGUCUUUAUGAAUUGUAUCUUGUGCUGACUUCCUUCCUCAGCCUGUGACUUAGAAUGCCUUAACUAUCUGAGAAUGCAACUCAAUAGGUCUCAGCCUCAUUUUACCCAGCUCCUAUUUUAGAUGGAGUUGCUCUGGUUCAAAUGCCUCUGAAAGGGGAAAGGAAAUCUUGGGAUUUUCAUUGCUGUGAACCACUGCACAUAUUGAGGAAAUAAUCACUACUUCCAACCUCAUAAUCCUGAAGUCAUUUGGUACCUGUGAGUCAGGUGUUGGAAACUGGGCAGUGUGGAAGACAGUGCCCUGCCCCAUGCAUUCUGGAACAUUUAAUCUGGUGGGGAAAUGUGUAGUAAGUAGGAGAUAUUUACUAUGGAAGAAGGGGUUAUGGUCUGGGAAAGAAUUAAGUGGAAUAAGGGGGAUAAAGAGGCAGAGGGUGUGAUUGGGACAGCCUCAGUGAUGCGUGAUGAGCACAUUCUGCAGUUGGUCUCACCUCUUUCUAAAACUUCCAGUUUUCACUCUCAACCCCAACAAAUGGUUCUUUUUUAUUUUAUAGAAAGUUUGUCAGAAUUAGGUUUAUAUAUUUCCUUGUUGAAUUAACAGAAUAAUUUGAUUUAACAUCACUGUCUAGUAUGACUGAAAGCUUCUAAUCUUUUACUGCUAUUUAUGGGCCUUCAAAUUUGAUGCUAAUAACAUGAAGUAAGAAUUUAAGACAACUCUUUAGGUGUUACAGGAAAGCCAGUCUAAUAACAAAGAAAUUAAUUUAUUAAUUAAUUUCAAGUUGACAUUCCAGUUGAGUUGUGGAGGUGGGGGAGGCAUUUUGGUAAAUGAGUUCAGAAGUAAGGAGAAAGAUCUGGCAAGAGAUAUCAUUUUGGAUUUUGUAGUAGUGUUUUGAUAGCAGUCGUUGAUAACACCAAAAUAAUUUAUCAGUGAGCUCGCUGACAGCUCCCUGACUUUUCAAAGAAACAGGGUCGUGUUAUGUUUUCUGGGCUGGGCUAGAACUCGUGGGCUCAAGUUAUCCUCCUCAGUCUCCUAAGUAGUAUCUAGGGCUACAGCCAUGUGCCACCAUGCCCAGGUUUGAGCCACUCCCAGCCAUCAUGUUGCAAAAUAUUUAAAUAUUACAUUCAGAGGUGCAUGGGAGAUCUGUAUAUAAAUAGCACCAUGUAAAUUGCUUGAAUGUUUUUGUUUAGAGUUUUGUUUGGAUGUGGCUUCAGAGCAGGGAUUAGUAAAUUCAUUUUUACUAUUUUUUUCUUAAGGCAGAUUCUCACUCUGUUGUUCAGGCUGGAGUGCAGUAGCUCACUGCAGCCUCUGCCUCCCAGGUUCUACUGAUUCUCUUGCCUCAGCCUCCUGAGUAGCUGGGACUACAGGUGCCUGCCACCACACCCAGCUCUUUUCUAUUUUUUUAUUAUUAUUUUUUGAUAGAAACAGGGUUUCACCAUGUUGGCCAGGCUGGUCUUGAUCUCCUGAUCCAAGUGAUCCCCCUGCCUUCGCUUUUCAAAAAGUUGGGAUUACAGGCAUGAGCCAUGGUGCCUGGCCAUUUUAUUUUAUUUUUUUUUUACAUUUUAAAAUUACAGUUUCUAUACCUAUUCAGAAGUAGAGAAAAGAGUACUAUGAACACUAAAAUACUUAUUCCUCAAUUUCUGUGAUCAUUAUCAUCUCUUAAUUGUUAGAUGUGUUUUGAAAGAAAUGGAAUGGAUUUGGUUACUGGUUUUGUUUCUGGAGCGGAGAGAGACAAAGCAGAAUGACUCCCACUGUUUAGAUUUCCUAAAAUGGAAGGAUUGCCAGCAGAUCAUAUUUCUGGUCUCCCAUAGCAAAUGUUUUCCUUCUUACUUUUUUUUUUUUUUUUUUUUUUUUUGAGAUGGCAUUUUGCUGUAUUACCCAUCCUGGAGUUCAGUGGUGUGAUCUCAGCUCACUGCAACCUCCACCUCCUGGGUUCAAGCAGUUCUCCUGCCUCAGCGUCCCAUGUAGCUGGGAUUACAGGCACAAACAACCAUGCCCAUCUAAUUUUUGUAUAGUAGAGGUGGGGUUUCACCCUAUUGGCCAGGCUGGUGUUGAGCUCUUAACCUUAGGUGAUCUGGCUGCCUCAGCCUCCCAAGAAUCUGGGAUUACAGAAACGUGCCACCAUGCCCAGUUAAUUUCUGUGUAGGUAGUAGAGAUGAGGUUUCACCACGUUGGCCAGGCUGCUCUCAGACUCCUGUCCUCGAAUGAUCCACCUGCCCUGACCUCCCAAAAUUCUGGGCUUACAGGUAUGAGCCACCCACGUUUGGCCAGUGAUUGACUUUCAUUUAUUUAUUUAUUUAUUUAUUGAGAUGAAG
Callithrix jacchus (white-tufted-ear marmoset) is the source of this 6834-nucleotide non-coding RNA. The record is from RefSeq and is a predicted model, not a curated record. NCBI's taxonomy places the organism in Eukaryota, Metazoa, Chordata, Mammalia, Primates, Cebidae.